CAGAGAAUAGUUUAGUAUAAAAUACCAGCUUUGGGAGUUGGAGAUAGAGGUUAAGUCCUCUUUUUCUGA
This 69-nucleotide transfer RNA is filed under the name Calidris pygmaea (Spoon-billed sandpiper). RNAcentral describes it as "tRNA-Pro". It matches the Rfam family "tRNA". From Rfam's summary of the family: Transfer RNA (tRNA) molecules are approximately 80 nucleotides in length. Lineage: Eukaryota; Metazoa; Chordata; Aves; Charadriiformes; Scolopacidae. The record is from RNAcentral.